This 369-nucleotide transfer-messenger RNA is filed under the name Buchnera aphidicola (Cinara pseudotaxifoliae). It matches the Rfam family "transfer-messenger RNA". From Rfam's summary of the family: Bacterial tmRNA, also known as 10Sa RNA or SsrA, is named for its dual tRNA and mRNA-like properties. Its role is to liberate the mRNA from a stalled ribosome. Lineage: Bacteria; Pseudomonadati; Pseudomonadota; Gammaproteobacteria; Enterobacterales; Erwiniaceae. The record is from RNAcentral.
GGGGCUGUUAUGGAUUUGACAGAAUAUACAAAAAUUAUUGCAGCAUGUCGAGGAUUGGUUUGCCUCGUUAAAAAACCAAAUUUAUUAAAUGCAAAACAAAAAAACUACGCUUUAGCAGCUUAAAAACCUAGAUAAAGCCCUUUCUCGCUAAUCUAUUUACUCUCUUUAAUAGAUAAGUUAUAUUUUAGAAAGGUUAUAUUAAAAGAGACAUUCUUAUAUCGUUAAUCUUAAAACAAUAAGAUUGUAUUUUAUUAAGAUACAAAAUAAUACUUUGUUUAUUAAGUCUUAUUUUAAAAAAUUAAAUAAACUAAACAUGUAGAACAAUAAUAUUAGUUAUUUUGGACGCGGGUUCAAAUCCCGCCAGCUCCA